Molecule: ribosomal RNA, 484 nt
Filed under: uncultured bacterium
Lineage: Bacteria
Description: partial 16S ribosomal RNA
Rfam family: Bacterial small subunit ribosomal RNA
Source: RNAcentral
AUUGAACGCUGGCGGCAGGCCUAACACAUGCAAGUCGAGCGGAUGAAGGGAGCUUGCUCCUGGAUUCAGCGGCGGACGGGUGAGUAAUGCCUAGGAAUCUGCCUGGUAGUGGGGGAUAACGCCCGGAAACGGGCGCUAAUACCGCAUACGUCCUGAGGGAGAAAGUGGGGGAUCUUCGGACCUCACGCUAUCAGAUGAGCCUAGGUCGGAUUAGCUAGUUGGUGGGGUAAAGGCCUACCAAGGCGACGAUCCGUAACUGGUCUGAGAGGAUGAUCAGUCACACUGGAACUGAGACACGGUCCAGACUCCUACGGGAGGCAGCAGUGGGGAAUAUUGGACAAUGGGCGAAAGCCUAAUCCAGCCAUGCCGCGUGUGUGAAGAAGGUCUUCGGAUUGUAAAGCACUUUAAGUUGGGAGGAAGGGCAGUAAGUUAAUACCUUGCUGUUUUGACGUUACCAACAGAAUAAGCACCGGCUAACUUCGUG